This 737-nucleotide long non-coding RNA is filed under the name Daphnia magna. RNAcentral describes it as "uncharacterized LOC123471104, transcript variant X2". The record is from RNAcentral. Lineage: Eukaryota; Metazoa; Arthropoda; Branchiopoda; Diplostraca; Daphniidae.
AAUUUGGAUCUCCCUUAGGUAUUUUAUGCACUUUAGGUGGUUACGUUCUUUUGUUUGUUUUUUUCCGCGUGGAAUUUCACGUUUUGUACGGAAAAGUUCACAUUUUUUGCAUUUUAGGGAAUCCCCCAUUUUAUCGACAGUCGGUGUGAAGCAUGACAUGUCUUCCGAACAUCCGAAGACCGGCAUAUUUAAAAGACAAAUGAACGUUCAAAGGAUGUACAGGAUAGAGAUAAAGAAAAGAAGGAUAAAGUCCACGCUGGAUGGGCUGCUUAUCAGAGUCUGCCCUUUUGCCAUCUGUAGAUGAUGAUGACAGCCACUGACUGCUGCACCCCUCAGAACUAGUAGAAAUUCAUCGAGUGCUGGCCGGCGACGAUAUUCUUUGAUCGACUGACCUCGGAUUCAAAUUGACAUGUUGUACAUACGUAGGAGCGAAUAACAGCCGGAGAAUUCCCAAAAACAAAACAAGUCUAGGGCAUAUUUCAAGAAGAAGUUGUUUAUUUGGCUGGUUGUGACAUUGGCGAUUCCCAGACGGACGCCAUAUGAUCGUCGUCAUCGUCCGCCAAACAGAUAAAAAUUGAGGCGCGAUCUUCUGCGAAGGAUGACCUGCCAAACCCAUCCAGCCAUUUGAAAAUAUUGAAAUUCAGUACCAAGCUGGAGAACGAGUUCCAUUAAAAAAUUUGUUUGAUUUGGGUCAGUCAGAUUCAAUUCCCUAUUACAAUUUAUCCUGUCGUAUUUCA